This is a non-coding RNA of Drosophila takahashii, 604 nucleotides long. The record is from RefSeq and is a predicted model, not a curated record. Lineage: Eukaryota; Metazoa; Arthropoda; Insecta; Diptera; Drosophilidae.
UCUAAAACGAUCAAAGCACUUUUCCUGUCCAUAGGCUUAACGAAUAUUUCCGUUACUCCUGGGUCAAGAAAUAUGGAUAACUCUUGGUUUCUUACCUUUAUUGUAGGCUGUAUUGUGGGUUAUUUGAUAGGCAAGAACCAUUGAAAAAGCUUUACAAGUUUCACAUUAAAAAUGGAUGUAGAUUGGGUGAUCACAUUUCUAGUUGGCUGUUUGGUAGGAUACAUGGUGGCCAGGAAUACCUAGGAAGGCUAUUAAAUGAAGUGCUCAAGGAGGUUAACUUUAUAUAUGAACCAACCACAGUACACUUGGGAGUCUAUGUACUAUUCCUGCCCGUAUGAACUUUGAAAUCUUGACUGGAUUUAGACUAGGAAAAACACACCGAUUUUGGUAUCAAGUAUAGAAAAUUCACCGAAUUCAAAUCACUAUAUCAAAAUGACGCACGUUAUCUCAUUUGCCUUGGGCGUGAUUAUUGGAAUGAUGAGCUGCCGGAAGUGCUAGCCCCCUUAUCAACUGAACUGGAAUUAAUCUAAAUUUAUCAAGAAAAAUGCCUGAACAAAUUUGAACAAUAAAUAAAAUCGAUUCUGUUAUUCUAAUCAGCAGUAAA